CUACGGGGGGCAGCAGUGGGGAAUAUUGGACAAUGGGGGAAACCCUGAUCCAGCAAUGCCGCGUGUGUGAAGAAGGCCUGCGGGUUGUAAAGCACUUUCGGUUGGGAGGACUGCUUCUAGCACUAAUAUUGUUGGAAGUUGACGUUACCUUCAGAAGAAGCACCGGCUACACUCCGUGCCAGCAGCCGCGGUAAUACGGAGGGUGCAAGCGUUAAUCGGAAUUACUGGGCGUAAAGCGCGCGUAGGCGGCUAGAUCAGUCGGGUGUGAAAGCCCCGGGCUUAACCUGGGAACUGCAUCCGAUACUGUCUAGCUUGAGUACAGGAGAGGAGAGUGGAAUUCCACAUGUAGCGGUGAAAUGCGUAGAUAUGUGGAGGAACACCAAUGGCGAAGGCAGCUCUCUGGCCUGAUACUGACGCUGAGGUGCGAAAGCGUGAGGAGCAAACAGGAUUAGAUACCCCGGUAGUC
Molecule: ribosomal RNA, 466 nt
Filed under: uncultured bacterium
Lineage: Bacteria
Description: partial 16S ribosomal RNA
Rfam family: Bacterial small subunit ribosomal RNA
Source: RNAcentral